UUCCACCCUCAAUGAGUUCUGGACAUAUGCGAGAUUUUGGCUCGCUCGCUCGCGCUCUCUCUCUCUCUCUUCCCAAACUGAAACCCUGACUCUAGAGGGAGAAUGGCUUCAAUUUCAUUAUCCUCACUGUCGGUACCAUUUUCGACCUUACCCAAUUCCUCCAUUAGUAAUUGCAGACCCGAGUUUUCUGUUCUCUCUUUGCCUUCCUCAAUUUCCUCAAAGUUACAUGCCCUGAAACCCUAUCGAGUUUCCCCUUCCAGAACUUUUGCUGUUCCUGAAGUUUUGGAAUCCAAUGCUGCUUCUGAGGUUUGUUUUGUUAUCGACUCAGUUAUAAUUAUGUUUGAUAAUUAUGCACUUUUCACAUGAUUGAAAUGAUUUUCUUUUUGGGUUUUCUGGGGUCUUAGGACGAGGCUCCUUCCUCUUCAGUGCCGAGUGUUGGUACAGAUUCUGAGAAAGUAACUUCUCUUUUCUUCUUAUUCACCUGCACGCUAUGUUCUUUGUAUUUGGUUAUUAAUAUUGCUUUUGCUAAAAUUAUAGUAGCAGGAUUAAUUAGUUGUUGAGUGACAUUGCGUAUCAAUUGCUGCUGUAAUUAUCUACUUUAUCCUAAUUACUAUGAGGUAGACCAGUAGAGAGAGAAUGGAGUUAUGAAAUGCAAUGGCUCCAAUUAAAACACUGUCACUUUUCAUUGAUGUCAAUGUAUUUGCCUUAACACGUUCAUAUCUAAUACUGAAUCAAUCAGUAUUCAGUGCGAAGAAUUGUCUGCUAUAGGAAUUUGGUUUCACAUGAGCUUUGUAUAUUACAUCCCAGGAGAACCUUCCGGGCCCCAUUUAGCAGGGCUUUUGAAAAGCCAAAAGCGAUUUUGAUACUAAGAAAUUGCUUUUGAACAUGGUUGAAUAGUUUUCUGAAAGUGUUUUGUGUGGUAGAGGGAAAACUGAUUCUACAAGAUGCAGAAGCAAAAAUAUCUUCAUGAUAUUUUAAAGUCUCGUAGGGAUUAUCAUCGUAUUUCCCUCUACUAUUAAAAGAGCGAAUGCUGCAAUCACUAUUCAUUUGUGAAGUAUUUUCUUUUCCUAUUUUGCCCUUGAAUGGACUGUUGAUUAAUGAGGCCAUGCAUGGAAAAAAAGGGCAAUAUGAAUAUUUCAUUCAUCUCUUUCACUUUGGGUUGGGUUGGGUUGUAAUGUACUGAAACCCUAGACUAUUCCCCGCCCCAAAAAAGGCCACAAAAAUUUUUCACUCAAAAUCCUCGUUCUGUGCUAUACAUUCACCUAAAACUCUUUGACUUCGAAGUUCUGCUAUGCGUAUCGCUCGCUGUUGGAUAGCUUGUAAAUUUUUGGGCUGGCAAAGAAGUGUAAUCUUGAAGAAGCCCAGAUGCUCGUGCAAAAACUACAUCAGUACCAAUUAGAAGGCUCGAAUUCCGUAUUUUUUUAGAGUUUGAUUUUGGCUAUGAUUAAUUGGUUAUCCGCGCUUCUGAGAUUUAUGAUACUUGAAGUAUGAGGUUGAAUAAUGGUUGAAUUUCUUGAUAUGAACUGAAACGUAAUUUAUGUUAUAUUUUUGUUUUAAAUUUUUAGAAUUUGAAUUUCCUCUUGAAUUUGUGUGGGCAGGGAUGACCAUUUUACAGCUUUUUAAUGCCGGUUCUGCUUCAGAAAAUUCUUGAUUGACAAAGCUGCUUAUUUCUGAGCCAUCCAUUUGUUUUCCACCACCCAUUUCCUUAAUGCCCCUGUUGUUUCCUUUCUCACACAAAAUUGCCUCCUCAACCUUUGGUGAAAAUCUAAAACAAAUAGAGGACAUCUCUACAGGAAAUUGUAGAGUCUCGACUCCAAGUAUAUUCUUCUCAUACAAGUUUUUUUUUUUUUUUUUUUUUUUUUUUUUUUUUUUUUUUUUUUUUUUUUGGUAUUUUAUUUAAUUUUUUUCGAACUCUAUUCUUCUAUGUUUGUUUCAAUUUUUGUGAAAGUUUCCCAAAAAUUCAGAAAACUUCAUGUUUAGUGCAGUUUAGGGUUAUAAGUGAUGGAAUUGAUGUCUCUAUGUUUAAGUUAGGUUAGAGUCCAUUGUUUCUUUUUUGGGGAUUAUAGUUAAUAUUUGUAGUUGUACAUCCAGAAUUUUUUGGUUCAUUGUUGUUUGGUUGAAAGUUUAUAGUGUUGGGCUUAUUUAUAUAUCUGCAUACGUCGUGUUUUAAUUUUUUUUUUUCCCCACUAUGAGUUCUCCUGUGCAUCAAGAAUUACAAACCUUAAAUCAAGAUUUUAUUGUUUACUGUUUACAAUUUUUUUGAUUCCGCGUUGUUUUGCUUAUUUUAUUUCUUCUAUUUAUAUGGAAAAAGAAGGAAAAAAUGUUCAAGGAUUUUGAUUAGUUUAUAAAUAUCUGAUUUCUUGUUUUUCGCUUCUAUGACCAUUGAUUAUUCUAUUAUUAUUUACUUUAAUGGGUGUAAGACUCAUUACAGAUUUUUUAGCAUAUUUUUUAAUUUUUUUACUAAAUUUAUGUGCAAAUAAAAUGAGAAAUUAUUUAAAUGGAAGUCUCCUAAUUUUCAUGCAAUGCCAUUUUGUUAGUGUGCAUUAGUCCUAUGCAAUUAUUCAAGUGAGUAAAUUAUUGAUGGAAGUGUGUACCUUUAACGUGCUUGAACUUCCAGUAUAUGCUGUUUAGUUUUUAUUCACUUUUUCAUUCUUCAUGGAUAAUUUAUUUAUUUAUUAUUAUUAUUUUUAUUAUUAUUAUUAUUAUUAAUUUUUUUUCCCAUUUUGCUAGACAUCUAGCCAUACUUAUGCUGAGGUGCAAAAUGUAUUCCAACUAUAGUUUUUCUUGUGAAAAGAAAUUUAAUAACACCACUUCUCCUAGGAUGUCUUAAAUAUAUAAUAUGUAGAAAUAGAAUUGUAUCUUGAUGUGAAACUUUCGAAUUAUAUUGUAAUUUAGGCAACAUUCUUUCUUUUAUACAGAUGUUUGCAUUGAAAUUUUGUGAUAGAGUUUCUUGUCAAUCCUUGACAUUUUUAAGACGUUAACAUUACCUUCAAAAUAACACAUCACGUGCAUUGCACGGCAAAAAACUAGUAUCUUUAAAAUUUGAAAUAAGGUUGGUGUACUGUCUAUUACAGAUUGAACACGUGCUUAAUGCAUUAUAUUAUUGAUCUACAAAUUGUGUAUAUUAUUUUAAUACUUUCACACACAUGUAUAUUUAAAUUAUUAGGAUGAAAUGGAAUUAGACAAGGGUGUGAGGAAGACAGAGGAGUCAUUGAAUGAUAUAGAGUGCUUGACGGCAUGUCUCGUAUAAUGUCCACAAAUUUGUGAACUAGGAUCAACUUACUAUGCGAACCAACAAUGCAUUUCUCUACCAGGGCAUGAUCGUAUACCAAUGGAGGUCGAAGAUAGGUCUCAUAAGGUCUAAAAAUAAUUGGGGUUAAAGGCUAUCAAUCUCCACACAGAUCAAUCCAAUGGAAGGAAGAUAAGGCAUACAAAUAAUUGGGUUAAAGGUGCCCCUCAUGGGGUGGUUGAGUUGAUAGAGUAGGUGAGCGCGGAAACCUUUGGUCACGAGUUCGAUUUUCCCCGCCAACACUUUCUCGAUCUAGCUUGUCGAAUCGAACUUGCCUAGUGUGGUGUACCUGGCUGUCACGAUUUACCAAUGGAGGUCGAAGAUAGGUCUCAUAAGGCCUAAAAAUAAUUAGGGUUAAAGGCUAUCAAUCUCCACAAAAAUCAAUCCAAUGGAGGUAGAAGAUAUGGCAUACAAAUAAUUGGGUUAAAGGCUAUCAAUUUCCACACAAAUCAAUUAUUAAGCCGUUUGAUUAUCUUUUCAUUGUAUUCACUUCAUUAUUAGCGCAUGUUGGCACUCAGUUUAUAUCCAUUCAUGGUUGGUCCCAUAAGUUUUAAUGUUUUGAUGUUCCUUUCAUUUUGUUCCAUGCAUACUGAUAUUCCUAUGAAUUUGGCAUGUCCAAAUAAUUGAGUGCUAUAUUUUUACAUUUUCUUGUUGGAUAUUGAAGAAUUUGCGCACUUUUGUUCGGGAAAUAUCUGUAUUUAGAUUGAAUUUUGGUCCAUCUGAUACUUAGAUCAAAGUUUUAGCUGAUGAGAUUCCAUAAUAUAGUCCUAUUGUAAAUUGCUGUAAAAAUCUUACGCAUUAAGCCCUUGUUUCGUAAAAUUUAAAACUCGUCAAAGUCAACAAUUAAUUUUAUCUACACAUUUUAUAGGACACACAACUUUUCAACAACACAUUUCAUUAACUUUUAUAAUAAUCUGCUAAAAAUUUGAUUUUAAUACCUAUCAAAUAGGGGAUAAAUAUUUAUUGUGGUAAAAUUACCAAAAUAUCUCCCCAUAGCUACAAAAAUCACAUUUCUUCAAUUUCAUUUGCCAAGUUUUGAUUAUAAAUAUGGCAUCGAAACUAUUCUUCAAGAAAACCAAUCUCAAGAAUUUUAUGCAAAUUCCUCUUGCUCUCUAGAAAUAAGAAUGACUACUUUACUUUGUCUUACUUUUCUCCUCUUUCCCUUGAGUCUGUCAAGGUAAAUAAUGUUAGCUAAAGCUGCUGAGAUUGACUUCAUCAUUUACUUGAUAUUCAAACACAAUACAAGAUUUUACACCUUGAUUAUCACACUGAAAUCCAACGUCUACAAAUAGCAAAGAAAUAAUCACACAUGGAUCACAUCUGCCCAUCAAUUUAUUUUAUAAUGAGAUGAUAACAGUAGGUCGAGUACACACAAUUUAAUCAUCGUCAAUCCAUGCAAGAUCAACGUUUGACAUCCAGUGACAUGCCUCACCUUUUCCAGGGGAGAAUUUCAAUAUCUUAGAAGCUACAUGAUUCUCAAGCCAUGUCGAGAUAUCCAUGUGACAAAUUGAGAUCACGAUUUUAACUGGGAGUCGAGUUUUGGCUUCAACCAUGUCUACAGCAUAGAGUCGAGAUGAUAGGAUUGAGUGACAGAAAUAGGCUGCAAAUGGAGGAUAAACUUCAUGACAGACAAUUAUUUUCUGCCUAUCAAAUUUCUUGAUUUUUUUUUAUCAUAAAAUCCCCUGUUUUUGUGCUUUGUGAAGCCAGUGCAAGUGACUUCUUGUUGCCUAAGGCGAAUUUUGAAAAACUAAUCAUUUCUCCAAGGGAUUUUGUGCAAUUCUUGAUUCCUCCAUUUAUAACUUCUGCAUUACAAUAAAAAAGGGUAGUUUCAAUGGAAUUUUUCAAUAGUUUAAAGGACUUGAGAAAUAUUUUUCUGAUGUUUUUUCUGUUGAUAGAAAUUUUUGAAGCUAUUUCUUGAGGGAGAAAUGCGCAAUUCGAAUAUUAAUUUCUGAAUCUAGGGCCUGAAGAAAGAAAAAUUGUCUAUCUUAGUGGGUUGAAUAGUUGAUGCAUACUUAUUGUAUACUUUGACCAGUUUGUAUACUUUGGUCAGUUCCAGGAAUUUUUCAUAUUCAAAUGAGCAAGUGAGUUUUGCUAUUGAGCAAAAACUGGAAUUUUCUGAGAAUUCAUUUUUGGACAUCAUUUUAAUGUAAUAAUUCCGAUCCUUUUUUGUUAAUGGGGAUAGCUUUUUGAAAACAGAUUUAAACAUUUGGUUUUACACAUUUUCUGACCAGAACUUGAUAUGGUCGAAAGCGAUGGAUGAUAUACGGACUUGAGUUGACACAAAAGAAGUGAAGUAAAGACAAAAGAUCAAGAGAAAGAGGAGAAAAGUAGCCUUUUUUUUAUGACGAGGGAACUAGCGGAAUUGAGUGUAAUGCUAGAAACCCAAGAAAGUGUUUCCAAUCUAUGUAAUUGUUUAAUCUGAAAAGCAUGGCGUUAAAAUGAGUAAAGGCUAAUGGAAAACUUUGAGGAAGUGGUAGACGGAGGAUUUUGAGUCUACAAAUCUCAUUGGAUCUCUAUCAAAUGCGAGGAAUUCAUAUAUUUCUUCUAUUGUCGGAAAAGUUUUGUGAACUUUUCAAGAGUAUUUGCAUUUAGGCCAUCUCCAUUGCUAAGGGCAUCCUUGAUUUCUUUGUGCAAAACGCCAAGUGAUUUGAGUACAAUUGCUGUGGUUUGGGACUUUAUGGUGUCGAGAAUGAAAAUCUGGGAAGCUGGACCGAAUCUAUCCCUUAUCCUGGUUGUUGAAUUAAUGUCUUGUCAAGGAGAUUUUCGAUUGAUGGCAACAUAUCCAAAGAGAGCUUCAACAAGAUGGCCAUUGUUGACCUCGCAAAUUGGACUUCCACGUGGUCAACCAAGAGCCACUCCACGUGUUCCUCCCUGCACACAACAACAUAUGGUCAGGAGCACACUGUCGGAACCAACGAGGGUGGUGGCAAUCAAAUACACUCCGACGGUCAAGUCAGUGGUCGAUGAUCGGAACGAUACCGAAAUCGUGCAAGAGAGUGAGGAGAAUAUGAUGCUUGAAGCUUGUGAACUAAGAUCAACUUACUAUGCGGACCAACAAUGCAUUUCUCUACCAGGGCAUGAUCGCAUACCAAUGGAGGUCGAAGAUUGGUCUCAUAAGGCCUAAAAAUAAUUGGGGUUAAAGGCUAUCUAUCUCCACACAAAUCAAUCCAAUGGAGGUAGAAGAUAAGGCAUACAAAUAAUUGGAAUAAAGGCGUCCCUCAUGGGAUGAUCGAGUUGGUGGAGUAGGUGAGCGCGGAGGCCGUUGGUCACAAGUUCGAUUCUCCCCACCAACACUUUUUUGAGUCGCACCAGACUUGUCUAGUGCAGUUUACCUGUCUGGCACGAUUUACCAAUGGAGGUUGAAGAUAGGUCUCAUAAAGCCUAAAAAUAAUUAGGGUUAAAGGCUAUCAAUCUCCACACAAAUCAAUCCAAUGGAGGUAGAAGAUAGGGCAUACAAAUAAUUGGGUUAAAGGCUAUCAAAUUUCACACAAAUCAAUUAUUAAGCCGUUUGCUUAUCCUUUUAUUGUAUUCACUUCAUUAUUAGUGCAUGUUGGCACCCAUAAAUUUUAAUGUUUUGAUGUUCCUUUCAUUUUGUCCCAUGCAUAUUGAUAUUCCUAUGAAUUUGGCAUGUCCAAAUAAUUCAGUGCUACAUUUUUACAUUUUUUUUUUUUUUGGAUAUUGAAGAAUUUGCGCACUCUUGUUCGAGAAAUCUUUGUAUUUAGAUUGAAUUUUGGUCCAUCUGAUAAUUAGAUCAAGGUUUUAGAUGAUGAGGUUCCAUAAUACAGUCCUACUGUAAAUUGCUAUAAAAAUCUUAUUCAUUAAACCCUUGUUUCGUAAAAUUUAAAACUCGUCAAAGCCAACAAUUAAUUUUAUCCACACAUUUUAUGGGACCCACCAUUUUUCAACCACACAUUUCAUUAACUCUUAUCAAAUUCUGCUAAAAAAUUGAUUUUAAUGCCCACCAAAUAGGGGCUAAAUAUUUAUUGUGGUAAAAUUACCAAAAUAUCCCCCAUAGCCACAAAAAUCACAUUUCUUCAAUUUCACUUGCCAAGUUUUGAUUUUAAAUAUGGCCUUGAAACUAUCCUUCAUGUAAAUAUCUUGAGGAUUUUAUCUGAAUUCCUCUUGCUCUCUAAAAAUAAGAAUGGCUACUUUUUUUUUGCCCUUCAUGGAGUGGUCGAGUUGGUGGAGUAAGUGAGCGCGGAAACCUUUGAUCAUGAGUUCGAUUUUCUCUACCAACACUUUCUCGGUCGAGCCUGUCACACAGGACUUGCCUAGUGCGAUUUACUUGGCUAGCGUUAGCUAUUGCGUCAGUUCAAGGGUUUAUUCAGUGCACACCCGAAAGGUAGCGGUUGCGGGUUCCUCCGUCAUAAAAAUAAAAUAAUAAUAAAAAUAAAAAAUGGCUACUUUACGUUGUCUUACUUUUCUCCUCUUUCACUUGAUCUUUUAUCUUUACUUCACUUCUUUUGCGUCGACUCAAGUCCCUACAUCAUCCAUCACUUCCGAUCAGAUCAAGUUCUGGUCAGAAAAUGUGCAAAACCAAAUGUUAGAAUCUGUUUUCAAAAAGCUAUCCCCAUUAACAAAAAAUGAUUGGGAUUAUUACACUAAAAUGAUGACCAAAAAUGAAUUCUCAGAAAAUCCCAAUUUUUGCUCAAUAGCAAAACUGUCUUGCUCAUCUGAAUAUGAAAAUUUCCUAGAACUGGCCAAAGUAUACAAAAUGGUCAAAGCAUACAAUAAGUAUGCAUCAACUAUUCAACCCACUAGCGUAGACAAUUUUUCUUUCUUCAGGCUCUAAAUCCUUAGAGAAUGAAAUAUAUUCCAUAUCCUAGAUUCAGAAAUUAAUAUUCCGAAUCGAGCAUUUCUCCCUCAAGAAAUAGCUUCAAAAAUUUCUAUCAGCAGAAGAAACAUCAGAAAAAUAUUUCCCAAAUCCUUUAAACUACCGAAAAAUUCCGUUGAAACUACCUUUUUUUAUUGUAAUGCAAAAGUUAUAAAUGGAGGAAUCAAGAAUUACACAAAAUACCUUGAAGAAAUGAUUAGUUUUUCAAAAUUCACCUUAGACAACAAGAAGUUACUUGCACUAGCUUCACAAAGCACAAAAACUGGGGAUUUUAUGAUAAAAAAGAUCAAGAAAUUUGAUAGGCAGAAAACAAUUGUUUGUCAUGAAGUUUAUCUUUCAUUUGCAGCCUAUUUCUACCACUCAAUCCCAUCAUCUCGACUCUAUGCUGUAGACUUGGUUGAAGCCAAAACUCGACUUCCAAUUAAAACCGUGAUCUCAAUUUGUCACAUGGAUACCUCGGCAUGGACUGAGAAUCAUGUAACUUCUAAGAUACUGAAAUUCUCCCCUGGAGAAGGCGAGGCAUGCCACUGGAUGUCGAACGUUGAUCUUGCAUGGAUGGCGAUGAUUAGAUUGUGUGUACUCGACCUACUGCUAUCAUCUCAUUAUAAAAUAAAUUGAUGGGCGGAGAUGAUCCAUGUGUGAUUAUUUCUUUGCUAUUUGUAUAUGUUGAAUUUCAGUGUGAUAAUCAAGGUGUAAAAUCUUGUAUUGUGUUUGAAUAUCAAGUAAAUGAUGAAGUCAAUCUCAGUAGCUUUGGCUAACAUUAUUUAUCUUGACAGACUCAAGGGAAAGAGGAGAAAAGUAAGAAAAUGUAAAGUAGUCAUUCUUAUUUCUAGAGAGCAAGAGGAAUUUGCAUAAAAUCCUCAAGAUAGGUUUCCCUGAAGAAUAGUUUCGAGGCCAUAUUUAUAAUCAAAACUUGGCAAGUGAAAUUGAAGAAAUGUGAUUUUUGUAGCUAUGGGGGGGAUAUUUUGGUAAUUUACCACAAUAAAUAUUUAGCCCCUAUUUGGUGGGCAUUAAAAUCAAUUUUUAGCAGAUUUUAAUAAAAGUUAAUAAAAUGUGUUGUUGAAAAGUUGUGGAUCCCAUAAAAUGUGGGGAUAAUGUUAAUUGUUGACUUUGACGAGUUUUAAAUUUACGAAAUAGGGGCUUAAUGCGUAAAAUUUUUACAGCAAUUUACAGUAGGACUGUAUUAUGAGACCUCAUCAUCUAAAACCUUGAUUUAAUUAUCCGAUGGACCAAAAUUCAAGCUAAAUACAGAGAUUUCUUGAACAAAGAUGCGCAAAUUCUUCAAUAUCCAACAAGAAAAUGUAGCACUUAAUUAUUUGGACAUGCCAAAUUCAUAGGAAUAUCAGUAUGCAUGGGACAAAAUGAAAGGAACAUUAAAACUUAUGGGACCAACCAUAAAUGGAUAUAAACUGAGUGCCAACAUGCGCUAAUAAUGAAGUGAAUACAAUAAAAAGAUGAGCAAAUGGCUUAAUAAUUGAUUUGUGUGGAAAUUGAUAGCAUUUAACCCAAUUAUUUGUAUGCCCUAUCUUCUACCUCCAUUGGAUUGAUUUUUGUGGAGAUUGAUAGCCUUUAACCCUAAUUAUUUUUAGACCUUAUGAGACCUAUCUUCGACCUCCAUUGGUAAAUUGUGCUAGCCAGGUAAAUCGCACUAGGCAAGUUCGGUGCGACAGGUCGAUCGAGAAAGUGUUGGUAGGGAGAAUCGAACUUGUGACCAAAGGCCUCCGCGUUCACCUACUCUAACUCAACCACCCCACGAGGGGCGCCUUUAACCUAAUUAUUUGUAUGCUCUUCACUCCAUUGGAUUGAUUUGUGUGGAGAUUGAUAGCAUUUAAUUCCAAUUAUUUUUGGGCCUUGUGAGACCUAUCUUCGACCUCCAUUGGCAUGCGAUCAUGCCCUGGUAGAGAGAUGCAUUUUUGGUCCGCAUAGUAAGUUGAUCUUAGUUCACAAAUUUGUGGACAUUAUACAAGACAUGCCGUCAAGCACUCUAUAUCAUUUAGUGACUCCUCCGUCUCCCUCACACCCUUGUCUAAUUCCAUUUCAUCCUAAUAAUUUAAAUAUACAUAUGUGUGUGUGAAAGUAUUAAAAUAAUAUACACAAUUUGUAGAUCAAUAAUAUAAUGCAUUAAGCGCGUGUUCAAUCUAUAAUAGACAGUACACCAACCUUAUUUCAACUUUUAAAGAUAAAUACGUAUUGAAAUUUUGAGGUAAUAUGGUACUAUGUACAUUUUAUAAAUAUUAUUUAGAAAAAAUGCAAAAUAAUUNNNNNNNNNNNNNNNNNNNNNNNNNNNNNNNNNNNNNNNNNNNNNNNNNNNNNNNNNNNNNNNNNNUUGAAUUAUAACAUUGUAUAUUAUUAUUAUUAGGUGGCCACGGUUGUCACAUUACGUUACUAUAAUAUUUUGCAAAAUGGACCACAAGUCCUUUUCACACUAUUGAAUUCUAUUAAAGCAUCCAAUCAGAAUUUAAACACCUUUCCUUUACUUCAUAAGCGUGGUAAGUAUGGUAAAAUUGCGUGGGUUGCAGGUGUUGACGGGGAUGAGUGAGUAAUAGUUGGUUGGAGGAGGUGAUUUACUAAUAUUAUUUUUUUAAAUUUUUUCUAGUUGUUAAUAUGUAUUUGAUUGUUUUAAUUGAGACACUUUUUAAAAAGUUAUGUGAUUUGAAUUGCAAUUUUUCUUAUUUUUUGUGUGGAAAUUGAUAACCUUUAAUCCAAUUAUUUGUAUGCCUUACCUUCUACCUCCAUUGGAUUGAUUUGUGUAGAGAUUGAUAGCCUCUAACCCCAAUUUUUUUUUAGGCUUUAUGAGACCUAUUUUCGACCUCCAUUGGUAUGCGAUCAUGCCCUGAUAGAGAAAUGCGUUGUCGGUCCGCAUAGUAAGUUGAUCUUCUAAAUUUUAACGAACAAGUUGAUCAACAAACAAUCAGUCUCCAACUAUGAAAAUCGUUUAAAUUAUAAUUAAAUCAUUAUGAAAAUUAGCCUCACUUCAAAUUUGUAGGCCCAGCCUACGUGAUGAUUUAACAAAUAUUUUGGCCUUUUUUAUUUCAUUAGUUGACACGCACGUUGCAUUUAUAAAAUUGGAACAAUGAGUGACUUAGGCUAUUAUAUAGUAGAAAUGUGCUACAUGUAUAGAAAUUUUCCUCACAAAAAUCUUACAGACAAGACAUAGCAGGGCGUGGGUGGUUUAUUUUUUGCAAUAAAAUAUUCACAUGGGUCCCACCCCAUGUAAAAUUUCUGUGAGGCUUUUGUAAGGGAGAUUUUCGUAUCUUCAGUUUUUAUUGUAUAUAGUAAAUGUGUAUGGAUAUGGUGAUAGAAGAAUUAUGAAUGAUUCACACAUAUAUCUCACGCGGAAUAAUUAUGGCAUACCUUAAAUAAGAACCUCAAGUUGGAAAUAACAGAUGGAUGAUUUUUGUACUGAAAGGAGCACGCAUAUAGAAACGGCAACAGAGAAAAGGUUUUGGGAACAUGAGAUAAAUGCUUUUCUUCCGAUAAUUCUUUUUAUCAAUCAAGGUAGAAUUACGAGGUGCAAGUGGUUGGUCCCGUUUGAUUUAUUUCUUCAUGUUAAUAAAUAUUAUGUUAAUCAAAGUUAUGGUAUGAUAUGGUAUGACCAUCCAAUACCAAAGAUAUGAUAUGUAUUGAAUUCUUAUCGAUUUCUAAAUAUAUAAUAAUGGUAUGAUAUUUUUGACACAUGAUUUAAUAUUUUUAUUUGGGACUGUACCGUUAUUCGUUUUCUACUGAGUAUUUCCGUGUACUCACAAUUUCUCCUACCCCUCAUAGGUUAUAAUGGGUCGUUGGUUGGUGGGUGAUGAGGUGUAGUCGUAGUUCCAGAAUUUGUGGAACUCAAUAAAUUAAAUCGGAUUUAUUUUAGUUUAUUUAUUAUGUGAAAUUUCGUCAUUUCGGAUUUGAAACAAAUUUAUUUGGUCAUGUUUUCCUAUAAUUUUCAUUUAAUGGCAGAACAAUAAAAAAUUUCACUUUAUGAUGUUCGAUGUGUUUAUUUAAUUAUUGAAUGGAAUUUUAGUAAUGAUUUAGAUGUUUAAAAUUUGGGUCUUACAAAAUGGUAUCAGAGUCCAGUGUUCUAAAAUUAAUUCUGUAGACUUUAAAAAAUAUAUAUAUUAUAACAAGAAAAGUUUUGCAAUUUUCAAGAUGUAGUUUUAAGUAUUUAUUUUAUUAUUAAUUAUCAAAAAUAAAUUUUUUUUUACUAAAAGUUAAGUUUUGCAAGAGUAUUUUUGAUAUAUUAUUUGAUCAAAAUUUUUGGAUUUUAUUUAGGGAAUGUGCUAUUUUUAAUUAAAUAUGGAAAGUGGGUGGACAAAUUUCCUAGAAUAUUGAUUUAACCGAAAAGAUCACACGUUUCCUUCAAAAAAAAAUGUGGUUAGUUAUCUUGAAAUUGUGAUUUUAAAACUUGAGACUUUUUUUGACCUCCACAUUGAUUUAUAUGUUUUUGUAGCAAAAUAAAAGAACCCAACUUUAGCACUAGAAAAUAAUUGACAGAAUCUUUGACCUACACACACAUUUGGAGGUGGGGCCAUUUCUUCCGUCCAAUUGUUUAUUCAUGUGGGGCUUGACGAUUGUUAGAGGAGGUCAGAUCAUCUAUCAUCCAUUUUUCUAGCACUUCAGUAAAAUUCAAAAUAUAAGUUACUCUAUCUUAUAGAAGAUCUUAUAGUUAUUCUCCAUUUUCAUAUAUUUCCCCCAUUCUACCUUCUUCGAAACUUUAUUCUCACUACAGUUUUAUUAAUGAGAUAGAGGUUUAAAGUUUAAAAGAAAUUAUUCAAUUUAAAGGUAUGGUUAGCAUUUAAGAUUUUUAUUCUCCAAUGUCACAUAAUUUUGAAAUGACUGUACUUAUAAACAUUAUAUUCUUUAUAACAUGUUAAUGGAUUUGUACAUGUUGACUUUCUUUCAAUUUUUAUUUUUAAAGAUGAUAUUAAAAAAUAAAUAAAUAAUUCUCAUAGAUGUAAUAUGUGGUGUCAUAUAUUUAUUUGCAUUAAUUGAAUUUUAUAGGUUUAUUAAUGAAUAUACCUUGAAAUAAAAAUUGUAUGCGAAUUUGUUUUUAAAUAUAAUGUAAAAUAGGAUUAUGUUCUUUUAAUUAUUUAGGAUUUGAUAUCAUAUAUAUUAAGAUAACGCUUUCCAAAUUUGAGACAAUUUUUACUAUAGUCAGUUAAAUAUUAAUUAUUAGCAUAGUAUUUGUCAAUUAUCUUCAAAACCUUCAAGUUGUUAUGUUAAGUUCUUUAGAGAUUAAAAUAUUAUUGCUAGUAUUUUACUUUAAAAAAAUAAAAAAUAAAAAGUUUGCGUUCACGUCACUGUUCACCCGAACGGUGAUACUGUUCACGUGAGAAAUUUUGUUUUUUUGACUGUUUUUUUCAAAUGAUUGUUUCAAACGAUUGUCAUAUAAUUAGUUUAUAUGAGAAUUAGAUUAAUUUAAAUUGUCAAUGUAUUAAAUGUGCGUGUAGCUAAUCUUUACGUGCUAUUAAUAAUUUUUUUGAUAUAAAUUUAAAUAUAUGGUGUAAUAUAUAUAUUUUAUUUAAGUUCUAAAACGUGUGAGAAUUGAAGAAUCCUUGGCACUCGACAACCACUUGUCAAUCACCCACGACGCUCUAAGGUACGUAAUGUGGGUAAGAAAAUAAAUGAUCAUUCAAAUAUUUUGUGUAACUAUUGCCUAAACAUAGAUUAAUGAUAUGUACAUUUUUUUCCUUGUCGAGAACUUUUCAAUUAUUCAAGACAAUUUUCAAUGACGAAAAUAUUUUAAAGAGUGGAGAUUAUAACGCCCUGAAAAUUUUGGAAUAAAAAUGUAUUUGUUUUAUAUAUUACAUUUUUAUAUUUUGAAAAAAAAACGAGGAUUUGGGUCAAAUAUUUAAAUAUUUAUAGAGUAAUGAUAAAUAUAUCAAUAUUGGACUCAUUGGAUAGCUCGUAAUUAACUAUGUAUAUUAGGCUCGAGAAAAAAUUGAUUUGAAUAAGUUGAACUCAAGAUAUUGAAGUUUGUAGACUUGUCACUUUUUAGUAGUUGUUUAUGAUUUUAUUUUUGAAUUUAUGAUGGAUGCCAACGUGUAAAUUAGAUAGGGAAGAUAAAGUAGCUUCUUUCCUUCCUUUUUAUUUUAUUUUUUAUUUUAUGACAUAUAUAAUAUAUAAUGGACACUUUCUUGAUAUAGUACACCACAGUCCAAUUUACACCUAAUGAAAUCAUCAAUGAACACCCAUAAUGCAUCAUUUUUUUUUUUUUUUUAACGAGGUGUCCUAGUUUGCGCCAGACUAUAUCAUCGUCCCUGAACCUCCAGCCCCUCAACAGCUCAGGGAGGUAAAUCGCGGGAUGUGCCCUUGUUGGUUCUCAGGUUCCCACACGAUUUUUACUCCUUCCCCAAAGGGAACCUUCCUCCAUAGUGAUUAAUUCACCAAUAAUUCCUCCUUUAUUGGAUCAAAGGUUCCCACUAGGAAUGAACUCCCCACGCUUGGUUCCAGAACCCUCCAAUGUGAUUGUUCCGCCAACUUGGAUGUGCUCCGGGGGGUCCCAUAAUGCAUCAUUUUGAAUCUAUGUACAAAUGCUAAAGUGUGCCUUCCCUUAUAUGUCAUACCUUUGGUGCAGCCAAUUUUGACUGUCGGUCACCCUUGGCUCCAUUACAAACCUAAAGCAAUGAACCUUUUUUUGAGGAAAUCAUGAACAUCACAGAGUGGAAAAUGGCACAAAUUAAAAACUUGCCUAAGAUAUGAGAAGAUGAAACACUCACCAUCUUUCCAGAAGAAAAUAUUAGGGCUGUUGUUUUUGGUUCUCUAAUCCUCAUAAUCACUGCAGUGAAACGCUGAAAACUCAUGACAUGUAAGAUCCACCAUACAUGGUUUUCAAAGAGAAAUUAGAGAGAAAAAUUAAGUGCUAAUAAGUAUUGUAAACAAAGCUAUGCUUGAUUUCAUUUAGAUUCAUUGAUGAUACUUCAUACAUUAUGCUGGGAUUUUUCUCAAGAUAGAUGAAUCACAAUAAUCAUAAGGAACCAAUGAGCAAGUCAUAAAAAUCAUUGGUAUGUAUAGCUCAAUUAGCUUCCAGAAAUCAUUUU
RNAcentral lists this long non-coding RNA (15145 nucleotides) under Olea europaea (common olive). Lineage: Eukaryota; Viridiplantae; Streptophyta; Magnoliopsida; Lamiales; Oleaceae. The record is from RNAcentral.